GAAUCAGCUCUGUCUCGCGAAUGCCUUCAGNUUAAGUUUGAUCAUGGCUCAGACCGAANGCGUACGGCAGGCCUAACACAUGCAAUGUCGAGCGGCAGCACAAGUAAGUAUUACUUAUGAGGUGGCGAGCUGGCGGACGGGUGAGUAAUGCCUAGGGAUCUGCCCAGUCGAGGGGGAUAACAGUUGGAAACGACUGCUAAUACCGCAUACGCCCUACGGGGGAAAGAGGGGGACCUUCGGGCCUCUCGCGAUUGGAUGAACCUAGGUGGGAUUAGCUAGUUGGUGAGGUAAUGGCUCACCAAGGCGACGAUCCCUAGCUGUUCUGAGAGGAUGAUCAGCCACACUGGGACUGAGACACGGACNCCAGACUCCUACGGGAGGCAGCAGUGGGUGAAGUAUUAGCACAAUGGGNGGAACACNCCUGAUGCAGACACAUGCCGCGUGUGUUGAAGCAAGUNGGCCUUUCCGGGUUCUAG
Molecule: ribosomal RNA, 476 nt
Filed under: uncultured bacterium
Lineage: Bacteria
Description: bacterial SSU rRNA
Rfam family: Bacterial small subunit ribosomal RNA
Source: RNAcentral